UGAUAAAGAAAGGAGUCAAACCAAUGUAUGCAGUAGU
Molecule: transfer RNA, 37 nt
Filed under: Anolis humilis (humble anole)
Lineage: Eukaryota; Metazoa; Chordata; Lepidosauria; Squamata; Anolidae
Description: tRNA-Tyr
Source: RNAcentral